Long non-coding RNA from Felis catus (domestic cat), 4153 nucleotides. RefSeq lists it as uncharacterized. The record is from RefSeq and is a predicted model, not a curated record. The transcript has 3 exons. Lineage: Eukaryota; Metazoa; Chordata; Mammalia; Carnivora; Felidae.
AUGAAGCGGGCUCCAGGCUCUGAGCUGUCAGCACAGAGCCUGACACAGGGCUCCAACUCACAAACUGUGAGAUCAUGACCUGAGCUGAAGUCGGACGCUCAACCGACUGAGCCACCCAGGCGCCAUGAGGAAUUUAAUUUAAUCAACCCUCUGUAUGGAUCAAUUUAAAAUGUGCUGUACCUAAGUAAAUAUAAAUAUAAGGCUCUCUUACACUUCCACCUCUAACAGAUUUCCAUUUCUAACAGAUUUCCAUUUCUAACAGAUAAAAGGCUCACUUUUGGAUAGUGUCUAUAUGUGACUACCAAAUGAUAUUUCAACUAAAAUAGCUGAGGUACUCUGGUUUCCAGAUCAUGGUGUUAUCUUAAAACCAGUCUGUUUUUAAAUGUAGUUUAGAAUGAACAGGACAGUUGACAUUUUCAUGAAAUAUUUUUGGUUUUCACGGAUUCUAGGGAAGCAAUGUCUGUCAAUUGUGUACAGAUUGACCAACUUUUUUUUUUUUUUAACUUUGCACAACUAAAUCUAGAGAAAGAAAAGCAAGAAAUAUUUCUAGACAAAAGCAGAAACCUCUACUCUUUUGGUAGAUUUUCCUAAUUCAAGUUCUCUAAGAUGUAUUAUCAAGGGGGCAGUUGAGUACUUUGACCAACACCUACAAUUAAUUGUUGGAUUCCAUAAAGGAGCUCUCAGUUUUCUUGUGAAGUAUUAUUUUUUUAAACAACAGAGUUGGGAUCCGUAUUGUUUAUGAACUGAGACUAAAACAUUAAAGGGAUUCCUCCUGAUUUCGGUACUCUUCAAGUUAAUGUUUUUAUUAAUAUUAAAUGAUACAAAAAUGGACUACAUUCUGUGUGCUAGACAUAUUACUGAGCACUACAUGCAUUGGUUCAAUUAAUCUUCACAACAACUCCUUGGGUAUAUGUAUUGCCUGUAUUAUUAUUAAUCAUCUUUCUCAAAUCAAGAAUUUGAGGUUUAGAAAGUUGAGGUUAACGAGUCCCCAAAUCACAAAAUUAGUAAGUCGUAGAACUGGUAUUUAAAUCAAAUACUGUCUGACCCCAGAGCUCUCUAAAUACGUUGUAUUUACAUUGUCUCUAAAUAACAUUUUGUAUUCAUAGUGGUUAAAAAGUGAAAGUACAGUUUAUUACUUUGCUUUUCAAAGCAUUAUUGUCAGGCAUGUUUUUAAUAAUAUAUUUCCUGUGUCUUUGAGGGAAAAGGUUCAAACAUAGGUGCUUUCACUUAGGAUUGAAUUUGGAGUCAAGAAAGAGAAAAUGUGUUUUGGUGGUCACCCAGGAUAUGCCUCGUGGUAACAGCUUUGAAUGCUCUUCAGUCCCCUCUGCUGAGGCCAGUUACCACGCUUAUCUUCAUGUUUUUCUUUUUCUAUAAAAUGGGUGAUUUAAACCACAUCAUCUUUAGAUUCAACAGAGCUAUUGCAAGGAAAACUCAGCCUCUAUGUGAGUCACUUCAGAAGAGGUUAGCUCAAAGAUUAUUUGGAAAUGUUUUAUGCUCCUUUUUAGUUGUUUUAUUGUUUAGGGGAAGGAGUGGUAACAUACAAUUUUGGUAUUGUUCUGUUUGGGAAACAAACUUCAACUCAAAUAUUGACUUUUUUUAUCCAUACUUCUGUAAACCAAAGGGAUGGUUGUCUUUUAUAUCUUCAUUGGAAGGACCUCAUAUCAUCCAUUUAAACGACUGCUUGGCCGUUGUAACAAUAAGCACAAUUUAUUAUUCUUCCCUGUUAGACUUUUGGACAGGCAUAUCUGAUCCCUAUUCAUCUGUAUCUGGUAUCCUGAAAACUACUAGACAGAGCCUUUAUAGAUGUCAGGCUACAAAGGGAGAUCAUAAAUUAGGAGAAUCUUCAAGGUCAUCUCUAAUCCAGUCAGUCUUCAGAUUAAUAAAUUGAAGUCAUCGUUAUAUCUGAUCUGAUUAGGGCUACACAACUAAUUAUUAAUAAGAACCUGAGCUAGAGUCAUAGUCUGCUGACUUGAAUCUUGUAUCCUCUUCAUUUGCAAAGAAGUUAGGCAUGUUUUAAAAAAUUUUUUUUAAGUUUAUUUGUUUAUUUUGAGAGAGAGAUUGAGAGCACAAGCGGGGGAGAGGCACAGAAAAGGAGAAACACAAUGCCAAGCAGGCUCCACACCAUCAGGGCAGAACCUGAUGUGCGGCUCAAACUCACAAACUGUGAGAGAUAUGAUCAGAGCUGAGAUCAGAGCUUAACCAACUGCACCACCCAGGCACCACUAGGCAUACUUUUUAAAGAAAGUGAUAUGUAGGGACACCUUGGUAGCUGACUUGGUUGAGCGUCCCAACUCUUAGUUUCACUGCAGAUCAUGAUCUCACAGUUUGUGGGUUCAAGCCCCACAUUGGGCUCUGUGCUGACAGUGCGGAUGGAGUUCACUUGGGAUUCUCUCUCUUCCUUUCUCUCUCUCUCUGCCUCUCCCCGCUCGUGUACUCUCUCUCCUCUAAAAUAAAUAAACAUUAAAAAAAUUUUCUUCAGUGAUAGUAAACCACCAGUGAGAUUAUCUUACCAGUUAUCUCUUUGUGGAAUAAUAAUAAUAUUUUUUUUUUUUUACUAAUCACUAGAUUUCUUAAAGGGACCUAAAUUAUAGUAAGUAUAUUUUCAUAGAAUGUAUACAUUCUUUCUUUUAGACUGUAAAAGAUGUAAUCACUGUUAGCCUUAAGUGGGCAAAAGCAUAUUUAUAUCUAUAAAUAAGUAAACAUCUAUAUAUCUAGACUCCAAAUCUGAAAUGUAGUUAGAUUUUCUGUGUGUUGUCAUUGUGCGGGUCAAAAUGAUAAGAAUAUAGCAUCAAAAUUUAAUCACCCAAGCCAACUUUUAGUAUUGUCAAGGGUCAGUUUAGACUAUGCUACAUGUCUUGCAGUGGUUUCCACAGGAACCUGGGUGUGAUGAUUGAUGUUCCUAAUGGGAUUUAAGGACCUGCAAGGUCCCAAACUGCCCUCUGAAUUAUCAAAGAAAUCUGCUGUUUAACAAAACAGAUGUAUGCCUGACCUUGUUCUACCAAAGAUUCGAGUUGACAGGUUUGCUUUUUUAGGAUGAAGCAUAUUUUUCCUGGUGUUUCUAUUUAAAUUAGGUCAUCUCUAUAUUGUUUAUAGUGAAUCCGUUAUUCAAAAUACUGUUACCCAGGAUAACCCUGCCCACAACCUCUCUGAAAAGGAGCCAACAGGAGCUCUGUGAGUGCUACCUAGCAGAAUUAUAGCAGUGUUCGCUGGAAAUUGUUCUAUGUAUCAUCUCCUAUAAUUAUGCACUUACAGAGUCACCUCUCAAGCCCUGGAAAAAUGUGAGGAAAACAAAGCCAAAGAAUAUGCAUUUAAGUUUUUUAUUCAUGGUCACUUAAUUCUUAUUUUCAGGUCAAAUUUAGUUAGGUUAUUUUAGAAAGAUGUGAAGUCUUUUUGUCUUUCAUACACAACUACCAACUUCUCUUUUUAUUUUCAUCUUCCUCUGUCCUUUAUCUCUUCAGGCAUACUAUUGUUUAACAGUUGCUUUGUAUAAGAUACGAGCCUUGCAUGCCAACUUUGAUGUGGCAGAAUGAAUCAUGUUGCCAUUGAUCUCAGCCUGAACAGAACAGCCAUCUUCAAAUAGGAAGUUUCUAGCUUCAGGUUGUUUCAGCCCCGCAUGCCUUGCCUAGCCUGCCGUGUAAAGUCAGUUGCUUCACUCCAAACAGCACUGUAUUAAUAUGCACAACAUGACCAUUUUCAGUAGAAGGUUAUUAGAAUGCUAGUUUGUAUCCUCUAGUGAAUGAAAUGAUGUGUGAUUAUGAAGUCAUCAGGCAUGGACCAGUAAGACUCCAGAGAGCCUGCCCCCUCUGAGGUCCUCAGGGUGCCAUUGAUUGGUGGCCAUGUGUUUGUGCCCGAUAGACUGUGAAAUGGUGUGUUGCUACACGGCUGUGUUGCACCUGCGCCCCACCGAGGUUUGAAGACCUGAAGGAGCAAGCAGUGUCAUUUCUGAAAUAAUUUUAGUAAUGUCGCCUUCCCUGAGCAGCCUAUCCUUGGUAGUUCUCUCCUUGAUAGCACUUCAUCAAAGAGAACAGAGACAGAAAAGAAAAGGAGUUCCAAUUUUUUCCAUUUUCUUUUUACUUGUUAUCAUCACUGAAUGGCUAAGUAUUUCAUAAGAUUGGACUUUGAUGCUUAUGUCUUAAAUAUUGCAGCACUAUCA